RNAcentral lists this transfer-messenger RNA (347 nucleotides) under Clostridiales bacterium. It matches the Rfam family "transfer-messenger RNA". Rfam says of the family: Bacterial tmRNA, also known as 10Sa RNA or SsrA, is named for its dual tRNA and mRNA-like properties. The record is from RNAcentral. Lineage: Bacteria; Bacillati; Bacillota; Clostridia; Eubacteriales.
GGGGGCGCAAUGGCUUCGACGGGGAUUGCGCAUGCGGGAAUAGCCAUCCGCAGACGGUGCCUGCGAAUAAAAACCGACAAUAAAUUUAAUCGACAACGAUUAUUCUUUAGUCGCCGCGUAAUGCGGCCGUCGACCUAUAAGUAACCUGCUGCUUUAGGUAUCGGCGUCGACUAGGCGGGGAACUUGCGCGCCAAAGCUUUGAGGCGCGUGAAGAUCCAUGAAGCUACUUGAAAGCGAGUCGUGUUGGCUUGCCUCGCUGGAUGGGAAUUUUGAAUAACCAACUGUGAUGGGAGAAGUUUUCGUUUGCAGAUUUUCGGACCCGGGUUCAAUUCCCGGCGCCUCCAUUA